RNAcentral lists this ribosomal RNA (529 nucleotides) under Salmonella enterica. Its description in RNAcentral is "partial 23S ribosomal RNA". It matches the Rfam family "Bacterial large subunit ribosomal RNA", at positions 93 to 666 of the family's 2925-position model. The record is from RNAcentral. Lineage: Bacteria; Pseudomonadati; Pseudomonadota; Gammaproteobacteria; Enterobacterales; Enterobacteriaceae.
AACCGUUAUAACCGGCGAUACCCGAAUGGGGAAACCCAGUGUGACUCGUCACACUAUCAUUAACUGAAUCCAUAGGUUAAUGAGGCGAACCGGGGGAACUGAAACAUCUAAGUACCCCGAGGAAAAGAAAUCAACCGAGAUUCCCCCAGUAGCGGCGAGCGAACGGGGAGGAGCCCAGAGCCUGAAUCAGCAUGUGUGUUAGUGGAAGCGUCUGGAAAGGCGCGCGAUACAGGGUGACAGCCCCGUACACAAAAGCGCAUGUGCUGUGAGCUCGAUGAGUAGGGCGGGACACGUGGUAUCCUGUCUGAAUAUGGGGGGACCAUCCUCCAAGGCUAAAUACUCCUGACUGACCGAUAGUGAACCAGUACCGUGAGGGAAAGGCGAAAAGAACCCCGGCGAGGGGAGUGAAAAAGAACCUGAAACCGUGUACGUACAAGCAGUGGGAGCACCCUUUGGGUGUGACUGCGUACCUUUUGUAUAAUGGGUCAGCGACUUAUAUUCUGUAGCAAGGUUAACCGAAUAGGGGAGC